UACGUAGGGGGCAAGCGUUGUCCGGAUUUAUUGGGCGUAAAGAGCGUGUAGGCGGUCAGGUAGGUCCGUUGUGAAAACUCGAGGCUCAACCUCGAGACGCCGAUGGAAACCAUCUGACUAGAGUCCGGAAGAGGAGAGUGGAAUUCCUGGUGUAGCGGUGAAAUGCGCAGAUAUCAGGAGGAACACCGAUGGCGAAGGCAGUGUUCUGGGCCAGUACUGACGCUGAGGAGCGAAAGCGUGGGUAGCAAACGGG
RNAcentral lists this ribosomal RNA (253 nucleotides) under uncultured bacterium. Its description in RNAcentral is "partial 16S ribosomal RNA". It matches the Rfam family "Bacterial small subunit ribosomal RNA", at positions 524 to 776 of the family's 1533-position model. The record is from RNAcentral.